Molecule: ribosomal RNA, 253 nt
Filed under: uncultured bacterium
Lineage: Bacteria
Description: partial 16S ribosomal RNA
Rfam family: Bacterial small subunit ribosomal RNA
Source: RNAcentral
UACGUAGGGUGCGAGCGUUAAUCGGAAUUACUGGGCGUAAAGCGUGCGCAGGCGGUUCGCUGUGUCCGAUGUGAAAGCCCCGGGCUUAACCUGGGAAUGGCAUUGGAAACUGGCGAGCUGGAGUGUGGCAGAGGGGGGUGGAAUUCCGCGUGUAGCAGUGAAAUGCGUAGAGAUGCGGAGGAACACCGAUGGCGAAGGCAGCCCCCUGGGUUAACACUGACGCUCAGGCACGAAAGCGUGGGGAGCAAACCGG